Canis lupus familiaris (dog) is the source of this 295-nucleotide non-coding RNA. The record is from Rfam. Lineage: Eukaryota; Metazoa; Chordata; Mammalia; Carnivora; Canidae.
GCCGGGCACGGUGUCGCGCACCUGUAGUCUCAGCUACUCGGGAAGCUGAGGCAGGAGGAUCCCUUGAGCCCAGGAGUUCUGGGCUGUAGUGCGCUAUGCCGAUCGGGUGUCCGCACUAAGUUCGGCAUCAAUAUGGUGACCUCCCGGGAGCGGGGGACCACCAGGUUGCCUAAGGAAGGGAGAACCGGCCCAGGUAGGAAACCAACGUGGGACUCAAUCUCCACACUGCGGGUUCACACCCUGAGCCAAAGGCAGAUGCUCAACCACUGAGCCACCCAGACAUCCCUAAUUUCAG